CCUUGAACUUGUCUGGGUGGAUUUCUCAGUUUUCUCGCACUUUAGCUCCAUAAAUAAUUUUUUUUCACGAUGUCCAACUUUCCGCAGUUACUCCGAGCCGCGCCUGCGCCCUUCAGGCGGCUCUCUUGUGGCAGAGGCGCAAAAGGGAGCGUCAGUUUCAGUGUUAGUGGAAACUUCUUGCGCCUGCGCUCCUCAGCUGCGCUGUCAUCCAGCCCGGAGCACCGAAACAGACCCAGAACCCGGGCUACGCGGGCUACAGCCGCAGGGAGCCGGUCCGGAUCGGCUGUGCCUCCGGGUUCUGGGGGGACACGGCCACCUCAGUGCCUCAGCUGAUCCACAGCGGGAAGCUGGACUUUCUGGUGUUUGACUACCUCAGUGAGAUCACCAUGUCUCUGCUCACCGCUGCCAAAACCAAAAUGCCAAACCUCGGUUACGCUCCAGACUUUGUCCAGGUUGCUCUGGCUCCCUUCAUCAAUGACA
This is a non-coding RNA of Maylandia zebra (zebra mbuna), 480 nucleotides long. Lineage: Eukaryota; Metazoa; Chordata; Actinopteri; Cichliformes; Cichlidae. The record is from RefSeq and is a predicted model, not a curated record.